RNAcentral lists this ribosomal RNA (480 nucleotides) under uncultured bacterium. RNAcentral's name for it is "partial 16S ribosomal RNA". It matches the Rfam family "Bacterial small subunit ribosomal RNA", at positions 28 to 507 of the family's 1533-position model. The record is from RNAcentral.
GACGAACGCUGGCGGCGUGCUUAACGCAUGCAAGUCGAACGAUGAAGCAAAGAAUUGAAGCUUCGGUAGAAAUUCAUUUCGGAUUAGUGGCAGACGGGUGAGUAACGCGUGAGCAACCUACCUCUUACAAAGGGAUAGCCUCGGGAAACCGGGAUUAAUACCAUAUAACAUUGCGACGAAGCAUUUCGAUGCAAUCAAAGCUACGGCGGUAAGAGAUGGGCUCGCGUCCCAUUAACCAGAUGGUGAGGUAACGGCUCACCAUAGUAACGAUGGGUAACCGGCCUGAGAGGGUGAACGGUCACACUGGAACUGAGACACGGUCCAGACUCCUACGGGAGGCAGCAGUGGGGAAUAUUGCACAAUGGAGGGAACUCUGAUGCAGCGACGCCGCGUGAGUGAUGAAGGAAUUCGUUUCGUAAAACUCUGUUCUAUGGGAAGAAAAGGACUGUACCAUAGGAGAAAGCUCCGGCUAAAUACGUG